ACCUAAAGAAACAAGUGGAAAAACUCAUUGUAAAUUAAUGUUAUGUCUUCAUGUGUUAAUUCAUGCUUCAUGCUGACAAAGUAAAAUCACAGUGUGGAUAAGAAAAGAGAGAGGGUCCUCCAUAAUGUGCCAUUCAUCGCCCUGGUGAGUCCUAAUAGAUCCAUGGGUCAGGGUUUCUCGUUGAGUUGGAGACCUUUCAAGCUGAGCCAAGACUUCGGACGGAGAUAUUGGAGCCCACAACGGUGAUUCAUUGACUUGAGAGGAUUUCGGAGAUUCCAGAGAGGGACUUUUCCAGCACUGCAAUGCAAGCCGAGCCGAGACAUUGAACCACCUGCCUGCAGUGAGAAGGCUGCAAACUGAGGAACGCUCAAGUAAUCCACCCUUUCUUCAAACGCGACGAGGCGAAGCAAAGUGAAUCCCCUGAGGUCCUCUCAUCUCUCUUCAGGAGCUGCCGACUCUCUUCUCUUUAUGGCACACCCAGAAGGAUUAAGCACAAAUGGCAUUCACAUGAUUUCAAUAAGCUCGAGGAGACAAGAACCAGCCUUUCAGCACAUUAGCUUUUCGCUGUGGAGGACACAAAGCAGACACCGAGCAACUGCAGGGGGAAGAAAGAAAGAAAAAAAAGAACACACAGUUAAUAAUGAUCAUAAUAAUAGACCAGUCUGGCACUGCUGAAAUGGAAUUCCACUGGCCCAAAAAUGGACCCGUAAGAGGUGAUGUCAUCAAUUACAGCCAUGAUUGGGUUAGACGUGAACCUGGGGUGACACCGUAGUAAAAAAGGUGACCCCCCCUCCCUUUCGUGGCAAAACCAAAGACGCGACCUUUCAAAACAGCAAGUGUUAUCUGGAUAAAGUCAAUGUGACACAAAAGGGUCUCUUCAAAAUAAUUAAACACAUAUUCAGA
Plectropomus leopardus (leopard coralgrouper) is the source of this 903-nucleotide long non-coding RNA. RefSeq lists it as uncharacterized. The record is from RefSeq and is a predicted model, not a curated record. NCBI's taxonomy places the organism in Eukaryota, Metazoa, Chordata, Actinopteri, Perciformes, Serranidae.